GGGAUUGGUCAUCGUUCUAUAGAGAAAACAAUAGUUGGAGUUUAGAUACCAACAUAUGUAUCACAUGUAUAUGUAUGUGCAUGUGAUAUAUACCUGAUGAUCCACAGUUGGAUUGUAUUUAGGGUCAUCUUCUUCUAGGCGCCUGUGAGGUCUUGGUGGGUUUGGUUCAUACUCAGGUGGAGUAGAAUACGAUCAACAAUCAUCGUCCUCCUCCUUCGAGGAUUCAACAUCCGGUCCGGGCUGUUGUUCUCCCCCAUCUUGCAAUGGAGAGUUGACUAAUUUGGUGGCAUCUGGU
Molecule: long non-coding RNA, 295 nt
Filed under: Setaria viridis
Lineage: Eukaryota; Viridiplantae; Streptophyta; Magnoliopsida; Poales; Poaceae
Description: long non-coding RNA (SVIR_LNC003018)
Source: RNAcentral